Molecule: non-coding RNA, 1152 nt
Organism: Arachis ipaensis
Lineage: Eukaryota; Viridiplantae; Streptophyta; Magnoliopsida; Fabales; Fabaceae
Source: RefSeq, a predicted model, not a curated record
UCCCUCUUUUUAUUUUCUCUUUAUAUAAGGUGCUCAAAACUCCUCGAUUCUCAGUUUCAAACCACAAAAAUAUAAAAUAGAGUCAAUAUGAAGAGACAUCUUCUGACAUUGUUAUUCUUCUUUCUCCUUCUUGACCCAUCUCUUUCACUAAUGCAGCUAUCUGGCGCUGAAAUGUUCGGCGGCGACGUCGUGGAAUUUGUCAAGCAACUCAAGCAAAUUUUUCCAGAUGUGGCACGCGAUACUGGACCCAACAUUUUGACAACAAUUUGGGGCUAUAUAACACAGCCAUGUGCUUCGCCGAAGAGUAAUAUCCCAGGCCUCCAUUAUGUAAAACAGUAUCUCAACUACUACGGUUACUUACAAGAUUCAUACGGCAGUAGUUUCACAGAUGAAAUGGAUCAGAACACCGUUUCCGCCAUCAAACAAUAUCAAAAAUUCUUCCGUCUCCACGACACCACCGGAAACCUCAACCAAGAGACUCUAGAUCUGAUUUCGCGGUUCCGCUGCGGUGUCCCGGACGAUAUCAUGGUUGGACUCCAAAACUUCAACGACAAGAUGGUGGUAGGGGUAAGCCUUAUAGAACUUAGUGUGUCUAACAAUGAUGUUGGGUACAUGCUUUUGGAUGCUAAUAACAAGAACUGGGCCCUUCCAAAUGUGGGGUCAUUGGGAACUGGUGGAAUUGACUUGGGUGCUGUGGCCAUGCACCAGAUAGGGCAUCUUAUUGGGCUUUCACACUCCGGUGACAGUGAAUCGGUUAUGUAUCCGUAUAUUUUGCCUGGAAACCGGAGGAAGGUGCAGCUCUCAAACGAUGAUAUACAGCAGAUCAAGCAACUUUCUUCCGCUAAUGGAAAUGGAAAUGGAGUUGGGUCCAGUCAUUGGGGAUUGAUUACCACAUUCCUACUUGGAUUUCCAUGCUUGUUCCUCUUGUACUAGCUCUCUUAACCGCUACGUGUGACUCUGAUUGUGUGAAUGUUUUUUUAAGUUUUUGUCAAUGUUUUUUAUUUCUUCGUCUUCGUCAAAGUCUUUACCUCUUUGCCGUCUUGCCACAUCUUUAUCAAUGCUACUAGGUAUGCAUUAAGGGUGUAUGGUGUAUGUGGUUGGAGGAUUAAUAAAAUUUUUAAUUUCCAGGGAUCUUUGGAAAUAUUUUAUUUC